ACUCUUUCAAUUCGGCUAAACAGCUCCUAUAUAAGAGCUGCUGGCUUCGGCCAGCUAUGGCGAUAAACGGACGAUGUAAUAAGCUUAUUGGACCCGGGGGCGGUACCCGGCGCCUCCACCAGAACGCAGCAGGUUUGGCUGCUUUGUGGCGGGGGCGAAAUAGGAUCGACAAGAGUGUAAAGAUCGAACUUUUGCCCGGCAUUGUACCACCGUUAUCGGGCUAACCUAGUAGUUGCAAACGACAACUAUGCGGAAGCACGUCUCGCCGCUUAAUGCGGUGCGAUAGCUUCAAAUCAAGUCCUAGGGGUUCGCACUUCUAGGCGGGGUUCGGAGGCACCUGGCAACAGAAGCCUUCACU
RNAcentral lists this transfer-messenger RNA (358 nucleotides) under Phyllobacterium bourgognense. RNAcentral's name for it is "Alphaproteobacteria transfer-messenger RNA". It matches the Rfam family "Alphaproteobacteria transfer-messenger RNA". Rfam says of the family: Bacterial tmRNA, also known as 10Sa RNA or SsrA, is named for its dual tRNA and mRNA-like properties. The record is from RNAcentral. Lineage: Bacteria; Pseudomonadati; Pseudomonadota; Alphaproteobacteria; Hyphomicrobiales; Phyllobacteriaceae.